Molecule: ribosomal RNA, 329 nt
Filed under: uncultured eukaryote
Lineage: Eukaryota
Description: partial 18S ribosomal RNA
Rfam family: Eukaryotic small subunit ribosomal RNA
Source: RNAcentral
CCCUUAGAUGUUCUGGGCCGCACGCGCGCUACACUGACUACUUCAACGAGUUGUUUCCUUGAUCGAAAGGUCUGGGUAAUCUUUGAAAGGUAGUCGUGAUGGGGAUAGAUCCUUGCAAUUUUUGAUCUUCAACGAGGAAUUCCUAGUAAACGCGAAUCAUCAGUUCGCGUUGAUUACGUCCCUGCCCUUUGUACACACCGCCCGUCGCUCCUACCGAUCGAAUGGUCCGGUGAAAAUUUCGGAUAGUGACGAUGCUGGCGGUUCGUCGCCGGCGCUGUCGCUAGAAGAUCUUUAAACCUUAUCAUUUAGAGGAAGGAGAANUCGUAACA